CUAGAUGUUUCUUACCAGGGUUUCGUUCCAAGGUUCCGCUACAGGGUUCCGUAACCAAGGUUCCGUACCAGGUUCCGUAACAACGUUUCCUUACCAGGUUUCCGGUACCAGGUUCCGUAACAAAGUCUUCACAAAGGUUUUUUAGGUACCACCCUUUCGUUUAAACCUUUCCAUAACCGGGGGUUCCGGAACCUAAAUUUCCUAACAAGGUUCCGUAGGGAACCUGCCGAAGGAUCAUUGG
RNAcentral lists this ribosomal RNA (241 nucleotides) under Alpinia officinarum (lesser galangal). RNAcentral's name for it is "partial 18S ribosomal RNA". Lineage: Eukaryota; Viridiplantae; Streptophyta; Magnoliopsida; Zingiberales; Zingiberaceae. The record is from RNAcentral.